AGACACAGACAUACACGCCCUCACUGAGACUGCGCAGGCGUGGCUUCCGCUCUGCCCUCUGGGAAAGAGAGUCUUCCGGCUCCUCUCUCGCGAAGGAAUGUUAGGCGCUUCCGUCCAGAAAGAACUUCAAAUACCGUGAUGCAACGCGACUCGACGCACGCGGGGAGGAGGAAGAGGAAGGCGCUCGGAAGAGGAUAAGCGGUGGCUCCAGAAUGUCUGAAGACAGGAGUCUGUCAAGUGUCUGCUUUAAGAAACCAGAUCAGGAAGAAAGCUCUUUCCAGUUCCUGCACUGCCGCUGCUUUGAUCAUGCUACCAAAGUACCAUGCUAGUCAU
Long non-coding RNA from Mastomys coucha (southern multimammate mouse), 333 nucleotides. RefSeq lists it as uncharacterized. The record is from RefSeq and is a predicted model, not a curated record. The transcript is spliced from 3 exons. Lineage: Eukaryota; Metazoa; Chordata; Mammalia; Rodentia; Muridae.